Molecule: ribosomal RNA, 460 nt
Filed under: uncultured bacterium
Lineage: Bacteria
Description: partial 16S ribosomal RNA
Rfam family: Bacterial small subunit ribosomal RNA
Source: RNAcentral
CCUACGGGCGGCAGCAGUGAGGAAUAUUGGUCAAUGGACGAGAGUCUGAACCAGCCAAGUAGCGUGAAGGAUGACUGCCCUAUGGGUUGUAAACUUCUUUUAUAUGGGAAUAAAACGUUCCACGUGUGGGAUUUUGUAUGUACCAUAUGAAUAAGGAUCGGCUAACUCAGUGCCAGCAGCCGCGGUACUACGGAGGAUCCGAGCGUUAUCCGGAUUUAUUGGGUUUAAAGGGAGCGUAGGUGGAUUGUUAAGUCAGUUGUGAAAGUUUGCGGCUCAACCGUAAAAUUGCAGUUGAAACUGUCAGUCUUGAGUACAGUAUAGGUGGGCGGAAUUCGUGGUGUAGCGGUGAAAUGCUUAGAUAUCACGAAGAACUCCGAUUGCGAAGGCAGUUCACUGGACUGCAACUGACACUGAGGCUCGAAAGUGUGGGUAUCAAACAGGAUUAGAUACCCCAGUAGUC